GGACGACUAGCCAGCUUCGAGAAUCCAUCACUUUCCCCGUUUUCACCGGGUGUAUGCACACCGGAAGAUGGUCGGCUAAGUGCGAGUGCUAGCGAGAUGCGUUCACAAGUUUCGCAGCCAGUUCCGCUCCGUUGCAAUGACCCUGGCUUACCAUAAAAUACCCACCGCAAUAGAGGAAAAACCGAAUACAGUUUUGAACGCAGCCAAGCCUUCGGCACACGCGCCGUGAAAAAUAGAGAGGAGCAGGUCUUCUGUUCGGUAGACAUUUCACACAUGACCCGGAAGCGUGGACGACCAGGUGUCACGUUUCGGGAAAUUCUCCCCGCCGGACUGCGGAUUUCUACGAUCGGCCGUUACGCACGUUGGAACGCGGUCGCGUCGAACUCGAUUUUCGAAUUUGUUGCGUCGUACUAAAUGAGAAAGGCCACGAGGAAAACCCGGCAAGUGGCAAGGUGAACGGAGUAGCUGAGGCGAUCAACUGCGGAAUUAGCGGCUUGAUUGUCGAAGCAAGAAUGUCAAACAAUGAUGGACUCUCGGGUCUUACCUUCUACGUUUCCUGUGGAGAGUCACGGCAAACCCUCAAACUUUGCUGCGUGGCGCGUUUCCUCAGUCGAACGCAGUGAGACACUAUCAACGGAGGGAACCGUGGAGUGAGGGACGCUGCGCUGUGUGUUUGACGUUGUGUUCAAUUCUCGCAACCGGAAGCGGAGUGUGGUGUAUGGCACUUUUACAGGCGAUGAAAGAUGGAGUUAGCACCUGUAGGUGAGCGAAAUAGAAGCUGCCGACGAGCUGUUUUCGAGGGAAACACGGUACAAUGGGUGGCUGGAAAAAAAGCCGUUUUCCUGUGACGCGGCAAACGCAAACGGUGGGCGUACCCCUUUCAGAUCAUUAAAACGCACAGUGCUGAUGUCAAACCACUUCUCAGAGGGGCUAGUGCUGUGUUGACAGUUUCCAUCCUCAGCCAAAAACGCAGCCCCCUGAAGACGGCCGUCGUCCUGGCGGUAGGUAGCCAUUCUGGUGGGAGUUUAGGCUCCUGUGUAGCGAUGGUCGAAACUGUGGCGUUGGUGUACUAACGUCGACCAUCUGAAGAAUCGAUGUUGCCAGAAUUGGCAAAAACAGACAGACACUAGAAUCUGUUGCGGAC
RNAcentral lists this long non-coding RNA (1144 nucleotides) under Toxoplasma gondii VEG. The record is from RNAcentral. Lineage: Eukaryota; Apicomplexa; Conoidasida; Eucoccidiorida; Sarcocystidae.